UACGUAGGAAGCAAGCGUUGUCCGGAAUUACUGGGCGUAAAGAGCUCGUAGGUGGUUUGUCGCGUUGUUCGUGAAAACCGGGGGCUUAACCCUCGGCGUGCGGGCGAUACGGGCAGACUUGAGUACUGCAGGGGAGACUGGAAUUCCUGGUGUAGCGGUGGAAUGCGCAGAUAUCAGGAGGAACACCGGUGGCGAAGGCGGGUCUCUGGGCAGUAACUGACGCUGAGGAGCGAAAGCGUGGGGAGCGAACAGG
RNAcentral lists this ribosomal RNA (253 nucleotides) under uncultured bacterium. RNAcentral describes it as "partial 16S ribosomal RNA". It matches the Rfam family "Bacterial small subunit ribosomal RNA", at positions 524 to 776 of the family's 1533-position model. The record is from RNAcentral.